AUUGAACGCUGGCGGCAUGCCUUACACAUGCAAGUCGAACGGUAACGGGCCUUCGGGUGCCGACGAGUGGCGAACGGGUGAGUAAUACAUCGGAACGUGCCCGAUCGUGGGGGAUAACGAGGCGAAAGCUUUGCUAAUACCGCAUACGAUCUACGGAUGAAAGCAGGGGACCGCAAGGCCUUGCGCGGACGGAGCGGCCGAUGGCAGAUUAGGUAGUUGGUGGGAUAAAAGCUUACCAAGCCGACGAUCUGUAGCUGGUCUGAGAGGAUGAUCAGCCACACUGGGACUGAGACACGGCCCAGACUCCUACGGGAGGCAGCAGUGGGGAAUUUUGGACAAUGGGCGCAAGCCUGAUCCAUCCAUGCCGCGUGCAGGAUGAAGGCCUUCGGGUUGUAAACUGCUUUUGUACGGAACGAAAAGCCUUCUUUUAAUACAGGAGGGUCAUGACGGUACCGUAAGAAUAAGCACCGGCUAACUACGUG
This 482-nucleotide ribosomal RNA is filed under the name uncultured bacterium. RNAcentral describes it as "partial 16S ribosomal RNA". It matches the Rfam family "Bacterial small subunit ribosomal RNA", at positions 30 to 507 of the family's 1533-position model. The record is from RNAcentral.